Molecule: long non-coding RNA, 738 nt
Organism: Leptidea sinapis
Lineage: Eukaryota; Metazoa; Arthropoda; Insecta; Lepidoptera; Pieridae
Exons: 2
Source: RefSeq, a predicted model, not a curated record
ACUAAGCGUUCCCCUUUAGUUUAUAUAUUAGAAGAUAUGGAUGGACGUGAAUUAGGUAUGUGGCAUAUAAAAGAUCUUAAAAUAGUGGGCAGCCAACCACGACAUUGAUAGUCGGAUUUUGAUUCAGGCAAAAUCCUCUUCUAAGGGAGGGGGUACUGUAACGUAGUUUUAUAAAACUCAAUAUAAUCAAAUAUAAACACAUAUAAUAAAACUAAGAAUAAUUAAUAAUAGCCUUAAUAUUGUCUACGGAUCUCUAAAUCCAUCAUACGUAUCAUCGCGAUGCGUGCCCCGCACCGUCCUCCACCCGCGACGUGUUAGACUCGGCAGUCGGCGGUGGGGACAGAAUUUCUAGUCUCAAAGGAGAGCGCACGUUCCUUGGCUGCGCGAACCAACUACAUUGUUCUCGUGCCAUUAUAAUACUUGAAUAACUACAACUUUCUUAUAUUUUUUACACGUUAUUAGGUUAACAUACUACUUAACAAACUAUUAAAUAAAUAAAGUCAGUGUUCCCAUCUAGGGAACACUGUUGGACUUCAAUACCUGUCCUACUUCGUAUGCCACAGUUUUGAACCUGGAUCCGGACAACAUAGUGAAGUCACACGUGUCAGGAGAUUGGGAACCGAAGGGGUGUACGGUAUUUCUGGGACCGAGACUCUGCGAGCAAAUUAUGGCCUCGGCUUUACCCUCGACCUCUUAAAAUCUUUAUUAAAUAUAAUUUAAAUAUAGUUUUAAAAAUUG